GGUUGUUUGGCCGAGCGGUCUAAGGCGCCUGAUUCAAGACUACUUCUUAUCACUGCAAAACAGUGAGAAAUCUCAGGUAUCGUAAGAUGCAAGAGUUCGAAUCUCUUAGCAACCA
Molecule: transfer RNA, 115 nt
Rfam family: tRNA
About the family: Transfer RNA (tRNA) molecules are approximately 80 nucleotides in length. Their secondary structure includes four short double-helical elements and three loops (D, anti-codon, and T loops).